UGUCCAGGAGCGGGAAUCGAACCCACAACCUUCUGCUUACCGGGCAGGUGCCAUGUCCACUAGGCUACUAGUAC
This is a non-coding RNA of Cordylochernes scorpioides, 74 nucleotides long. Lineage: Eukaryota; Metazoa; Arthropoda; Arachnida; Pseudoscorpiones; Chernetidae. The record is from the annotation of a GenBank genome assembly.